Molecule: long non-coding RNA, 1340 nt
Filed under: Vigna radiata
Lineage: Eukaryota; Viridiplantae; Streptophyta; Magnoliopsida; Fabales; Fabaceae
Description: long non-coding RNA (VRAD_LNC009636)
Source: RNAcentral
GUAGGUGAUUAAAAACUGAUUAAAAAUGUAGAGACGUCGUCGCCUCAAGGUCCCGCAACAACCACCGUAACACCUCAGCCCUGGCGGUCGCUCCUCCAUCAAUGCAAGUCGCGACUCUCCCUUCUUCCAUACCAACAAAAAAGUAAUAGCAGCAGCAGAAUAAGCAGUAACAAUUUCCAAGGGAACACACAAAAAGCCCCAAAGCAAAUCACCUUUUUCAAUCUGUCUACCCUUCACACACAACACAACACUCUCACUUUAUUCAAAACCAAAACUUCAACAACAACACAAAAAUGUUUGCAGACGAGAAUGGCCUCAAGGGAGACCCCGCCAUCAGAGUCGUUCCUCACUUCCCCAAGCAUGGUCCCUCUCUCUCUCUAAAUUUUCCAACUUUUUUUUCUUUCAUUUGCUCUCUCCUCUCCCUCUUCUUCAUGUUUUUAUAUUUUAUUGGAAACCUUUUUCUUCUUUUGUUGCUGCAGUUAGAACUUUUACCCAACAGAUCUGCAACCAUUCAUUUAGUUUUGUUUAUUUUUAAAGAGUGUGUUUUGGUGGAUUAAACUAAUGGGGGUGGUGAAAUUCGCAAGAAUAAUGUUCCAGGACAUAACGACAUUGUAAUUAAAAGCUACCUCAAUCACAGGCCUUGUUCGAACCUCACCUUCUGUGGCCAUCGAAAUAACCCCGGAGAAAGUCAAGUUCUUGUUUUUCUCUUGUUGAGCUUUCUCCUUCUCAAUUUGACCAUAAGCAUACCUUAAAAUUUGGCUUUGUAUGUGUAAAUUCUUGCCCUUUGGCAUCUGCUUUUUGAUGUUUUUAUCUCCAAUUUGUAGGUUGAAUCCUUCAUUGCUAUAUAUGUGGGUCAUCCUCAAGGGAAUUCAACAUUUUAGUAAGGUUGGUAGGUUCCUUUUUUUGCACGUCUGAAGCUGCAGACUGUUGCUCAUAGCUUGAAGAAUUUUGUACCGAUGGCAAAAACGUAUCUCCCAUACCACGUUUAGCUUGGUUACCAACCUUUAAGGUAUCUGAUUUCGCUGAUUUUUUUCGAGAAAAGGUUCGAGAUAAUUGCUCACCUAAUCCUCCCCCUUUACCUUUCUUAGCAAUAUCUUUUGCUAUUUUCCACCGUUCCCUAGCCUGCACAGUUUCCCUUACCUGUCUAGCAGCAGCUUCUCUAGAUUUUGCCUCUGCAACAUCCUUCCGCCAUAGCUCCCAAGGCCAUGGGAAAUCCCUAAUUCUCUUUUUUAUUUAAAUGAAUCCUAAUUUCCUUUUUAAUUACAAUUUAUGAACUGAUGGUCAUUACCAAUUUUUAAUCACAGCUUCCUGUUCUGUGUUUCCUGAAAGUUAAAUAUUGA